CAGAAAAAACCACCAUGCAUUUGCAGCAUCAGUUGUUCCCACGUUUUAGUGUGUGUGUGUGUGUGUGUACCUUUAAUUAAUCCAUCCUUCUCAGAAAGACUGCUGCAGGGGGUUGGAGUGUUGGUGGUUUGUCAAGUGAGGUAGUAGGGGGUGAAAUAAAGACAGAAAGGGAGAGAGAGAGGGGCGGAGGUGUGAAUUUACCAUUACCAAUACUGACCACAUUGUACAAUGACACACACAUGAACAAAGCAAGGUGGGACUUGCCACUCAUGCUGUGAAUGUAACCCACAGUGAGAUACAAAACCUGACACUUCCCCUGCCUUCCAGACAGACUCAUCGCCACGGUUACCAGACCAAUCAGUAGACCUCCGACCCGUCUCCGUAGUUUAGUGCCUAGCAGAGUAGCUAUCUGUCUCUGUUGGUCUGUCGAACAGUCGGUACAUCAAUCUGUCCAUCCGUCCAGCCAGUUAGUAAGCCAGUCAAUUAGUCAGUCAGCCAGCCAGUCAGUCAGUCAGCCAGCAUGUCCGUGUUCGAAUCCAGGACCCUCUCUCUGGCCCUCCUGAUCACCAUGUGUGUGUACCUCACCUCUGUGUCUGCUAACUAUCGUCGGCCAACUAAGGUAACCACAAGUUGCUGCACAAGAGUGUCUGACUCUCACAUCAAAUUUAGACUGCAAGGAUUCCACAUCCAAAACGCCAUGCCACCCUGUGUUGAUGCCAUCGUCUUCUACACAGUGAAAGGAGGGAAGAUCUGCUCUGAUCCCAAAGCACCCUGGGUCAACAAAAGAAAGCAAUAUUUGAAUGUGAUGAAAAAGCAAAGAAGACAUGUUUGACCAUGACUGGAACCCUCUCCACUGUAAACACGCCUCCUCACCAUCUCCUGCAUCCCCCUCCCCUCCUCACCAUCUCCUGCAUCCUCCUCCCAAGAUCCUCUAUCAGCAUACUUCAUUUUUCUGCUUAUUUUUUGUCUGUCUGGUCCUUAAGAUUAUUUUGUUGUGUUUUAAAUUGAUAGAAUUUCAUUAAAAUACAGUCUGUUGU
Oncorhynchus mykiss (rainbow trout) is the source of this 1037-nucleotide non-coding RNA. The record is from RefSeq and is a predicted model, not a curated record. NCBI's taxonomy places the organism in Eukaryota, Metazoa, Chordata, Actinopteri, Salmoniformes, Salmonidae.